AGAGCGAACGUUGGCGGCAUGCUUAACACAUGCAAGUCGCACGGGCAGCAAUGUCAGUGGCGGACGGGUGAGUAACGCGUAGGUAUCUAUCCUUGGGUGGGGGACAACGGCUGGAAACGGCUGCUAAUACCGCAUGAUAACUGAGGUUUAAAGGCGCAAGUCGCCUGGGGAGGAGCCUGCGUACGAUUAGCUAGUUGGUGGGGUAAAGGCCUACCAAGGCAACGAUCGUUAGCUGGUCUGAGAGGAUGAUCAGCCACAUUGGGACUGAGACACGGCCCAAACUCCUACGGGAGGCAGCAGUGGGGAAUAUUGGACAAUGGGCGAAAGCCUGAUCCAGCAAUGCCGCGUGUGUGAAGAAGGUCUUCGGAUUGUAAAGCACUUUCGACAGGGACGAUGAUGACGGUACCUGUAGAAGAGCCCGGCUAACUUCGCGCCAGCAGCCGC
RNAcentral lists this ribosomal RNA (444 nucleotides) under uncultured bacterium. RNAcentral's name for it is "SSU rRNA". It matches the Rfam family "Bacterial small subunit ribosomal RNA", at positions 26 to 518 of the family's 1533-position model. The record is from RNAcentral.